Long non-coding RNA from Bufo gargarizans (Asiatic toad), 536 nucleotides. RefSeq lists it as uncharacterized. The record is from RefSeq and is a predicted model, not a curated record. NCBI's taxonomy places the organism in Eukaryota, Metazoa, Chordata, Amphibia, Anura, Bufonidae. The transcript is spliced from 3 exons.
UGCCAGGCAGCGCUGUGUGUUCACUCACUGUUCAGGCUCCUCCUCUGCCUCCCAGUCCCUCCCUCCCUCUCUCUCUGAUAAGGAACAGGAAGUGAUGACAUCAGAGAGAGAGGCAGAGGGAGCUCCGUGGGAGAAAUCAUUCUACUUCUCCUCUCCAGCCCAGCUCCAGCAGCCUGCCCAUGUAGUGGCCAGCCAAGUGCCUACUGUGCCCUACAUGCAGACAACCUGACCAAGACAGUCCUAACUCCUGAGUCCUGACACCUGUCCUAGUCUGUCACUCACUUCUAAAAAGACAAAAUGACUCAUGAAGUCCGCCCCAGCCAGGCUAUGCCACUCCAAGCGACCUCUGAGAAUCUCCGCUGACCUGUGCUACUCUGCUUCCUAUGCUAUCUCCAUUUCGCUGGACUGUGCAAUGCCUACUAAUGUCCAACAUGCUGACUGAUGUCUGCUCUGCUGCCCUCUGGCUACCUCGUUGGCUUACACCUGUGACUCUGCUACAGAUGGUGCUGUGGAAUAUGGCGAUCAAUCUGCCGUGU